UUUUGCUUUAAUCACUCUAAUAAAUCAUUUUAAAUGCUAUUUCUAUCCAUGUCUUGGCACUCCAACAAAUGAAACUGUCAGCGAUUUGGCUAGUUUUAGUUUUUAGCUAGCAGGAUGUUAUUGGAAAUAAUGAUGUUGGUAUAGCCUUAUUCCUUGCCUUUAUUGUGGGAGGAAACUAAUGCCUUAUACGUAUUACUAAAGUCUAGAUUUCUCCAAUGAAACUUAAAGGGAUUUGAGAGUCACCUGGAAAGACUGGCUUCUGAACCAAUUUCAAGGUGGAUUUUUAAGACUACAAAUGGGAAUUUCUGGUUUGCUUUCAAAUGGUUCUGAUAUUCUUCAUUUUGUUAUGUUUUACAGCUGGUACUGGUUAUCACUGCACUUUAUUAAAUGGCAUCCCCAUUUCAAUUGAGAGUGAAGAGGUUCUUGGAUAAAGAACUUUAAAAAUCAGCCUAGAAGAUGGACUUUUGGCAAGCCAUAAUAGACUGCUCCUUUCCCAGGGCUCUUGGAUACAGCUUGGCAAACAAUACCUAUUCCAAGAAACACCAUUCUUCACCUCAGUAUGUUAUUUCCUUCAUAUAAGCAGUACUGUAUCCAGAGCUAAAAGACUUAUCUUUAAAAGUUAAUUAAUAUUUUAAAAUAAGGAAUUAUAGGUGCACUGUGACAGAAGGCCAGACUGGAUGACCUAUGAAUGAUCUGAAUUGACAGAAAGAAAAUCUAUUGUGGUUUUGUAAACUCUUUAAGAAAGUGUUGAAUUUCCAUCUAGUCAUUAGAUAGCUUUUAUUGUAAUCAUGUUCAAUGCCUUUUUUAAGAAAAGGAACUAUUCCAACUUUAUAAUACAAAAACACUUAAAAUUAGUUAUUCCAGUCUGGCAGUUGGAAAGGAAUAUUUCACAUUAUUGGUAAAGAUAGAUGUUCUUUCCAAGCAAUUAUGUUGAAUUCAAAUGAGACAUAUGUGAUGUUUUGGUUGUCCCAAUGC
This 975-nucleotide long non-coding RNA is filed under the name Vulpes vulpes (red fox). Its description in RNAcentral is "lncRNA (ENSVVUG00000020656.1)". Lineage: Eukaryota; Metazoa; Chordata; Mammalia; Carnivora; Canidae. The record is from RNAcentral.